GUGGGGAUGCAGGAAGGAGGCUCAGCCCAGAGGGCGGGGCCAAGAUCCUGAUUGGAGGAAAUCAAGGUGAGCGCGCUGCUACAAACUGGGCCCCUAUUUCUAGUUGGUGGCCAAACAUUUUGCCUGGGGCUGGGCCUGGGGCUGGGCCCGGGGCUGGGCCCGGGGCUGGGCCUGGGGCUUUGCCCGGGGCUGGGUCUAGGGCUGGGUCCAGGGCUGGGCCGCGGACUGGGCCUCGGACUGGGCCUCGGACUGGGCCUCGGACUGGGCCUCGGACUUGGCCUCGGAUUGGGCCGAGGAUUGGGCAGAGGCACGGGCCUACUGAUGGGCCUCCUGCUCGUGCCAGGUCGCCGCCGAGGUCUGCUUUGGCGGUUUCCACAUUCACGCAUCAGCCCGUUCACUGCGUCCGGGAGAAAACAGCUGGCGAGGCUCGGUUCCCCCCCACUCUCCGCCGGGAAGAGCAUGGCUUCGGGCGGCCCUGCGCAGAGAACGCAGAUGUGGACCCUCGGAAAGGAAAAUCAAAGCCAGUGAGUGAGGCCACAUGUCUACCCCCAGAAGAAUAGCCAAUGUCCAGGUGUGCCUGAAAAGAGUCUCAGUGACAGCAGCCCUCAGGUGAUGCAGAGCGCCAUGUUCUCAGCAAAGACCCACAUGCUUAUGCUGUCACAGGCUUGGAGGGAUGGCAGCAGGUGCAGGGGUGUGGUGACAACAUCUUGUGAAUCUGCACAGAAACCGCACUGUGUCCUGACAGCUCACACCCACG
RNAcentral lists this long non-coding RNA (757 nucleotides) under Heterocephalus glaber (naked mole-rat). RNAcentral describes it as "lncRNA (ENSHGLG00000028112.2)". The record is from RNAcentral. Lineage: Eukaryota; Metazoa; Chordata; Mammalia; Rodentia; Bathyergidae.